This 498-nucleotide ribosomal RNA is filed under the name uncultured bacterium. RNAcentral's name for it is "partial 16S ribosomal RNA". It matches the Rfam family "Bacterial small subunit ribosomal RNA", at positions 899 to 1397 of the family's 1533-position model. The record is from RNAcentral.
ACUCAAAUGAAUUGACGGGGGCCCGCACAAGCGGCGGAGCAUGUGGCUUAAUUCGACGCAACGCGAAGAACCUUACCAAGGCUUGACAUACACCGGAAACGGCCAGAGAUGGUCGCCCCCUUGUGGUCGGUGUACAGGUGGUGCAUGGCUGUCGUCAGCUCGUGUCGUGAGAUGUUGGGUUAAGUCCCGCAACGAGCGCAACCCUUGUUCUGUGUUGCCAGCGAGUAAUGUCGGGGACUCACAGGAGACUGCCGGGGUCAACUCGGAGGAAGGUGGGGACGACGUCAAGUCAUCAUGCCCCUUAUGUCUUGGGCUGCACACGUGCUACAAUGGCCGGUACAAUGAGCUGCGAUACCGCGAGGUGGAGCGAAUCUCAAAAAGCCGGUCUCAGUUCGGAUUGGGGUCUGCAACUCGACCCCAUGAAGUCGGAGUCGCUAGUAAUCGCAGAUCAGCAUUGCUGCGGUGAAUACGUUCCCGGGCCUUGUACACACCGCCCGU